GGGCAAUGGGAAGCCGUGAUGCGGAGCGAAAUAAAGUAGCGAAGUCCGUGAGCCAUGCGUCAAGAAAAGCCGCUAUCGUUUAUACCGUACCCGUACCGUAAACCGACACAGGUGGAUGAGGAGAGAAUCCUAAGGCCGGCGGAAGAAGCAUUGUCAAGGAACUCGGCAAAAUGGCCCCGUAACUUAGGGAUAAGGGGUGCCUGGGAAACCAGGCCGCAGAGAAUAGGCUCAAGCAACUGUUUAGCAAAAACACAGGUCUAUGCGAAACCGAAAGGUGAGGUAUAUGGGCUGACGCCUGCCCGGUGCUGGAAGGUUAAGAGGAGAGGUUAGCGCAAGCGAAGCUUUGAAUUUAAGCCCCAGUAAACGGCGGCCGUAACUAUAACGGUCCUAAGGUGGCGAAAUUCCUUGUCGGGUAAGUUCCGACCCGCACGAAAGGCGUAAUGAUUUGAGCGCUGUCUCGACAAUGCAUCCGGUGAAAUUGAAGUACCAGUGAAGAUGCUGGUUACCUGCGCCAGGACGGAAAGACCCCAUGGAGCUUUACUCCAGUUUGGUACUGGGACUCGGUAUUGCAUGUACAGGAUAGGUGGGAGGCUAGGAGAUAGUAACGCCAGUUAUUAUGGAGCCGCUGUUGGGAUACCACCCUUGCAGUAUUGGGUUUCUAACCAGCCGCCGUGACCCGGCGGUGGGACAAUGCCAGACGGGGAGUUUGACUGGGGCGGUCGCCUCCGAAAGGGUAUCGGAGGCGCCCAAAGGUUCCCUCAGAAUGGACGGAAACCAUUCGAAGAGUGCAAAGGCAGAAGGGAGCUUGACUGCGACACCGACGGGUGGAGCAGGUACGAAAGUAGGGCUUAGUGAUCCGGUGGUAUUAAGUGGGAAUGCCAUCGCUCAACGGAUAAAAGCUACCCUGGGAUAACAGGCUUAUCACUCCCAAGAGUUCACAUCGACGGAGUGGUUUGGCACCUCGAUGUCGGCUCAUCGCAUCCUGGGGCUGUAGUAGGUCCCAAGGGUUGGGCUGCUCGCCCAUUAAAGCGGUACGCGAGCUGGGUUCAGAACGUCGUGAGACAGUUCGGCCCCUAUCCGGCGUGGGCGUAGGAUAUCUGAGAGGAGCUGCCCUUAGUACGAGAGGACCGGGAUGGACGGGCCGCUGGUGCAUCGGUUAGACUGCCAAGUCUACGGCCGAGUAGCCAAGCCCGGAAGGGAUAAACGCUGAAGGCAUCUAAGCGUGAAGCCCCCCUUAAGAUGAGAUAUCCCAUUCGAAAGAAGUAAACCCCCUUGAAGACGACGAGGUAGAUAGGGCAGAGGUGGAAGUGUGGCAACACAUGGAGCUGACUGUUACUAAUCGGGUGAGGGCUUGACC
Molecule: ribosomal RNA, 1357 nt
Filed under: metagenome
Description: bacterial LSU rRNA
Rfam family: Bacterial large subunit ribosomal RNA
Source: RNAcentral